Molecule: ribosomal RNA, 1007 nt
Filed under: Myxobolus shantungensis
Lineage: Eukaryota; Metazoa; Cnidaria; Myxozoa; Bivalvulida; Myxobolidae
Description: SSU rRNA
Rfam family: Eukaryotic small subunit ribosomal RNA
Source: RNAcentral
AUCGAAAUUAAUUUAGUUCGCUCUAAGGUUGCAAUGGGUAACGGGGAAUCAGGGUUCGAUUCCGGAGAAGGAGCCUGAGAAACGGCUACUACAUCCAAGGAAGGCAACAGGCGCGCAAAUUACCCAAUCUAGACAGUAGGAGGUGGUGAAGAGAAUUACUAAGUGGUGGUUCAAUGAACUACCAACUUGGAAUGGACGUAACUUAAGCAAUUCGUUGAGAAACAACUGGAGGGCAAGUCCUGGUGCCAGCAGCCGCGGUAAUUCCAGCUCCAGUAGUUUGCUUUAAAGUUGUUGCGUUUAAAACGCUCGUAGUUGGAUCAUGCAACAGUGUACGGUAAUCUAUACACUCGGUGGGAAUAUUCUGAGUGUUCAUCGAAAGAUGGGGCUCGAAGUCCCGCCGAUGUUAGAUAUAAAAGCUGGACACUGUUAAUUGCACGUGAGAUGGAUUGUUGACCUUUGGUGCGUCGGUAAUCCUGUCUUGCGGAGUGUGCCUUGAAUAAAACAGAGUGCUUAAAGCAGGUUUACGCCUGAAUGUUAUAGCAUGGAACGAACAAUAGUGUAUUAGUGCAUGAUUUCGGGCAGCGAUCGAUCUAUGGUUUGUUGCUGUCGGGGAGGUGCACAUCACCCACCAAAAUAUGGCUGUUGGUUCCAUAUACGGUGAUGAUUAAAAGGAGCGGUUGGGGGCAUCGGUAUUUGGCCGCGAGAGGUGAAAUUCUUGGACCGGCCAAGGACUAACAAAUGCAAAGGCACCUGUCUAGACCGUAUCCAUUAAUCAAGAACGAAAGUGGGAGGUUCGAAGACGAUCAGAUACCGUCCUAGUUCCCACUGUAAACUAUGCCGACCUGGGAUCAGUUUAGAGAUGCUACAAGCUCUAAAUUGGUCCCCCUGGGAAACCUCAAGUUUUUCGGUUACGGGGAGAGUAUGGUCGCAAGGCUGAAACUUAAAGGAAUUGACGGAAGGGCACCACCAGGGGUGGAGCCUGCGGCUUAAUUUGACUCAACACGGGA